GUAACGACAAACGCCCGAGGAAUGAUCGUGGCAGGGAAAAAGACCCUGAGGCAAAAAGGGAUGGUCAACCUACUGCUGGAACCAUCAAUAUCAUCAUUGGAGGUAUUGCCUCGGGAGGAGACUCCAACAGUGGAAGAAAACAAUAUGCCCGACGAUAUGCCUUGGCCUCUGGUAUGCCUCAGGGAAAGCUGGAGGAUAUUACUUUUGGGACCGGAGACUUAGAAGGCGUAUCACUUCCACAUGAUGACGCCUUGGUAAUCUCAGCGAUUGUGGCCAAUUUCGAAGUAAAGAGGAUCUUGGUUGACAACGGGAGUGCGGCCAAUAUACUUUCACAAGAAGCUUUUGCCAAAAUGGGAAUCUCC
RNAcentral lists this long non-coding RNA (362 nucleotides) under Olea europaea subsp. europaea. Lineage: Eukaryota; Viridiplantae; Streptophyta; Magnoliopsida; Lamiales; Oleaceae. The record is from RNAcentral.